CAGCAAGUAUUUUAAUAAAAAUAUUAAUUUUGGGUAUUAAUGAUGUGUAUUUUUCACUUUGUUGA
This 65-nucleotide transfer RNA is filed under the name Deltocephalinae sp. EMHAU-2015-Zz052318. Its description in RNAcentral is "tRNA-Pro". The record is from RNAcentral. Lineage: Eukaryota; Metazoa; Arthropoda; Insecta; Hemiptera; Cicadellidae.